This 253-nucleotide ribosomal RNA is filed under the name uncultured bacterium. Its description in RNAcentral is "partial 16S ribosomal RNA". It matches the Rfam family "Bacterial small subunit ribosomal RNA", at positions 524 to 776 of the family's 1533-position model. The record is from RNAcentral.
UACGGGGGGGGCAAGCGUUGUUCGGAAUUACUGGGCGUAAAGGGCUCGUAGGUGGUCAACUAAGUCGGACGUGAAAUCCCUCGGCUUAACCGGGGAACUGCGUCCGAUACUGGAUGACUUGAGUUCGGGAGAGGGAUGCGGAAUUCCAGGUGUAGCGGUGAAAUGCGUAGAUAUCUGGAGGAACACCGGUGGCGAAGGCGGCAUCCUGGACCGCCACUGACGCUGAGGAGCGAAAGCCAGGGGAGCAAACGGG